GAACGGAGGUGAGAACCCUUAAGGGCGCAUCAUCGACCGAUCCAGAUGUCUUUGGAUGGAUUUGAGUAUGAGCAUAGCUGUUGGGACCCGAAAGAUGGUGAACUAUGCCUGAAUAGGGUGAAGCCAGAGGAAACUCUGGUGGA
This 143-nucleotide ribosomal RNA is filed under the name Hypogymnia pseudophysodes. RNAcentral describes it as "partial large subunit ribosomal RNA". It matches the Rfam family "Eukaryotic large subunit ribosomal RNA", at positions 727 to 871 of the family's 3401-position model. The record is from RNAcentral. Lineage: Eukaryota; Fungi; Ascomycota; Lecanoromycetes; Lecanorales; Parmeliaceae.